Molecule: non-coding RNA, 77 nt
Filed under: Desulfobacterales bacterium
Lineage: Bacteria; Pseudomonadati; Thermodesulfobacteriota; Desulfobacteria; Desulfobacterales
Description: c-di-GMP sequence
Rfam family: c-di-GMP-I riboswitch aptamer
About the family: GEMM was predicted in a large-scale screen for bacterial structured RNA regulatory elements.
Source: RNAcentral
UAGAGUAAAAGUCAAACCAUCUACGAGGAUGGGACGGAAAACCACGGGUCUUAACCAAAGAUAGCCGGGUUGCCUUG